GGUCCCAGUGCCCUUUUGGGGGACCCCAUGCUUUUCUGGGGGAGGUCCCUGUGCCCCACGGGGGAUUUAAGGUGGCACAGAUGGGAUUUAAAGGGGGGAAAUACCCACUUUAUGGGAAUUGCAGGUCUGGGAGCUGUCCCCGUGGCCCUGAAUGGGCUUUAAGGUGGUUCCUGCAGGAUAUGAAGGGCCCUGGUGGGAUUUAAGGUGGCCCAGAUGGGAUAUGAAGGGCCCAUAUGGAUUUAAGGUGGCCCAUAUCGGAUGUAAGGGGGGGCCUUAUGGGAUGUAGGGGACUAGGGGAUCUCCCUAUGGCCCUAGGUGGGCUUUAAGGUGGUGCCUAUGGGACAUGAAGGGCUGCAAUGGGAUGUAAAGACGCCCGGAUGAGAUAUGAAGGGCCCCUGUGGAUUUAAGGUGGCUCUUUUGAUACUUGAAAAGCUCCUAUGGGCUUUAAGGUGGCCCUUAUGGGAUACGAAGGGCCCAUAUGGAUUUAAGGUGGUAUACAGGAUGUAAGGGGAGGCCCUAUGGGAUAUAGGGGUCCGGGGGCUGUCCCUAUGGCACUAAAUGGGCUUUAAGGUGGUCCCAAUGGGAUAUGAAGGGCCCUGAUGGAAUUUAAGGUGGCCCAGAUGGGAUAUGAAGGGCCCUGAUGAAAUUUAAGGUGGCCCAGAUGGGAUAUGAAGGGACCUGAUGAAAUUUAAGGUGGCCCAGAUGGGAUAUGAAGGGCCCUGCUGGAUUUAAGGUGGCCUGUUGAGGAUGUAAGGGGGGUCCCUAUGGGAUGUAGGCAUCUGGGGGCUGUCCCCAUGGCCCCAAGUGGGCUUUAAGGUGGUCCCUAUGGGAUCUGAAGGACCCCCCAUGGGAUUUAAGGUGGCCCAGACGGGAUAUAAAGGGGAACCCCACGAGGCACGAGUGUCUGGGGACCCGGCUCACCUUUCCCCUCCCCCCGCAGGCAGAAGCACCCCCCGGCCACGCUGGCCGCCAUCAUUAAGGAGGCGGAGAACAUCCCCGCGCUGCUCCCCAACAUCGCCGCCCUUAAGGAGGCGCUGGCGAAAGCCCGGGCUUGGAUCGCCGACGUGGAGGAGAUCCAGAACGGGGACCACUACCCCUGCCUGGAUGACCUGGAGGGGCUGGUGGCCGUGGGUCGCGACCUCCCCGUGCGCCUGGAGGAGCUGCGGCAGCUGGAGGUGCAGGUGGGCACGGCGCACUCCUGGCGGGACAAAGCUUCCAGGACCUUCCUCAAAAAGAACUCCUGCUACACCCUGC
This 1254-nucleotide long non-coding RNA is filed under the name Numida meleagris (helmeted guineafowl). RNAcentral describes it as "lncRNA (ENSNMEG00000004162.1)". The record is from RNAcentral. Lineage: Eukaryota; Metazoa; Chordata; Aves; Galliformes; Numididae.